This 1218-nucleotide ribosomal RNA is filed under the name Escherichia coli. RNAcentral describes it as "partial 23S ribosomal RNA". It matches the Rfam family "Bacterial large subunit ribosomal RNA", at positions 1 to 1258 of the family's 2925-position model. The record is from RNAcentral. Lineage: Bacteria; Pseudomonadati; Pseudomonadota; Gammaproteobacteria; Enterobacterales; Enterobacteriaceae.
GAGGUUAAGCGACUAAGCGUACACGGUGGAUGCCCUGGCAGUCAGAGGCGAUGAAGGACGUGCUAAUCUGCGAUAAGCGUCGGUGAGGUGAUAUGAACCGUUAUAACCGGCGAUUUCCGAAUGGGGAAACCCAGUGUGUUUCGACACACUAUCAUUAACUGAAUCCAUAGGUUAAUGAGGCGAACCGGGGGAACUGAAACAUCUAAGUACCCCGAGGAAAAGAAAUCAACCGAGAUUCCCCCAGUAGCGGCGAGCGAACGGGGAGGAGCCCAGAGCCUGAAUCAGUGUGUGUGUUAGUGGAAGCGUCUGGAAAGGCGCGCGAUACAGGGUGACAGCCCCGUACACAAAAAUGCACAUAUUGUGAGCUCGAUGAGUAGGGCGGGACACGUGGUAUCCUGUCUGAAUAUGGGGGGACCAUCCUCCAAGGCUAAAUACUCCUGACUGACCGAUAGUGAACCAGUACCGUGAGGGAAAGGCGAAAAGAACCCCGGCGAGGGGAGUGAAAAAGAACCUGAAACCGUGUACGUACAAGCAGUGGGAGCCUCUUAAUGGGGUGACUGCGUACCUUUUGUAUAAUGGGUCAGCGACUUAUAUUCUGUAGCAAGGUUAACCGAAUAGGGGAGCCGAAGGGAAACCGAGUCUUAACUGGGCGUUAAGUUGCAGGGUAUAGACCCGAAACCCGGUGAUCUAGCCAUGGGCAGGUUGAAGGUUGGGUAACACUAACUGGAGGACCGAACCGACUAAUGUUGAAAAAUUAGCGGAUGACUUGUGGCUGGGGGUGAAAGGCCAAUCAAACCGGGAGAUAGCUGGUUCUCCCCGAAAGCUAUUUAGGUAGCGCCUCGUGAAUUCAUCUCCGGGGGUAGAGCACUGUUUCGGCAAGGGGGUCAUCCCGACUUACCAACCCGAUGCAAACUGCGAAUACCGGAGAAUGUUAUCACGGGAGACACACGGCGGGUGCUAACGUCCGUCGUGAAGAGGGAAACAACCCAGACCGCCAGCUAAGGUCCCAAAGUCAUGGUUAAGUGGGAAACGAUGUGGGAAGGCCCAGACAGCCAGGAUGUUGGCUUAGAAGCAGCCAUCAUUUAAAGAAAGCGUAAUAGCUCACUGGUCGAGUCGGCCUGCGCGGAAGAUGUAACGGGGCUAAACCAUGCACCGAAGCUGCGGCAGCGACACUAUGUGUUGUUGGGUAGGGGAGCGUUCUGUAAGCCUGUGAAGGUG